UACGGAGGGGGUUAGCGUUGUUCGGAAUUACUGGGCGUAAAGCGCGCGUAGGCGGAUUAGAAAGUUGGGGGUGAAAUCCCGGGGCUCAACCUCGGAACUGCCUCCAAAACUGCUAGUCUAGAGUUCGAGAGAGGUGAGUGGAAUUCCGAGUGUAGAGGUGAAAUUCGUAGAUAUUCGGAGGAACACCAGUGGCGAAGGCGGCUCACUGGCUCGAUACUGACGCUGAGGUGCGAAAGUGUGGGGAGCAAGCAGG
This 253-nucleotide ribosomal RNA is filed under the name uncultured bacterium. RNAcentral's name for it is "partial 16S ribosomal RNA". It matches the Rfam family "Bacterial small subunit ribosomal RNA", at positions 524 to 776 of the family's 1533-position model. The record is from RNAcentral.